RNAcentral lists this long non-coding RNA (1414 nucleotides) under Olea europaea (common olive). RNAcentral's name for it is "long non-coding RNA (OEUR_LNC000492)". The record is from RNAcentral. Lineage: Eukaryota; Viridiplantae; Streptophyta; Magnoliopsida; Lamiales; Oleaceae.
UUUAAGGUGACCUCGAUUAGCCGAAUGGAAAGCUCGAACCUUCGUUGAUACAAAAUUCCGGCCUUUUAAAUAUUACAUUACUUACCAAGCCAAUCUCCAACAUUUAGUUAAUCUAACUUUCUAUCAUAGCUCAAUAUAAAAUUCACCACCUAGAUCGAAGAGUCGAAGGUUAUCACCGUGUAAAGAUUUUUAAAACCUUGAUGAUCAAAUGCAUCGUUUUAAGAGAAGGCAAUCAGGAAAUUGAUACAAAUGACAAUGUAAUUAGUAUAAAAUGCAUGAAUCAUAUUGGCCAAAUGUAGAACGUGAAGUUCGGGGUAUUACAGAGGGGUCGUGAUGAGUAUGUUAUUCAUUUUUGUAUUGAAAUGAUCUAAAGACAAACGUCGGAUAAUGGAUGAAAUUGCAUCUAUUUUCUUUGGAAUUUGAAAUUAAACUCUUGAAUAAGCUUGUUUGGCUGUAUUUAAAACUCUCUAUGAAAAACUAGUUAAUAUUUAUCCAAUAUUUAAGUUUGGGAAUGCGGUUAAACAGUAAAGUGAAGUAGACUUUCUUAAAUUUUAGCCCCUAUUUCCUUAUUUCUUGGAUCCGCCCCUGAGUAUAUGAAUAUUUAAUGGCAAAAUAGAUUAAUUUCAUCCAUUGGGAAUCUAUGAUCACGAAAAUGAAAGUUUGAGAAUGUAUAUGCUUGAAAUUUUGAGUGAAUUGUCUAAAUGGUCACUGAAUUUUGUAAAAGAUUUCUAAGGGGUCAUUGAAUUUUAAAAUCACCUAAAUUGUGACUAAACUUUGCAAAAGAUUUCUACGGAGCCUUCGAAAUUUAAAAAUCACAUAAAUGGUUACUAAACUUUGCAAACUAAAAUGAAAGUUUUUAAUUCUUUACAAACUAAAAUGCAAAUUUUUUAUAUGUGCCACUUCCAAUCACAAUUAUUUAGAACUUUGUUUUUCACGUCACCCGCUUCUUUUCUUCCCUAAAAAUAAAAAAGAACCUCACCACCGUCAGCACCACCAUCGCCGAUUGGCCACAGCCACCCAGAUUCCACUUCAAAUACAAAUUCAUAAAUCCAACAAGAAAUUGUCCACAUCACUGCGCAUUUCCCUCCCCUAGAUUUCCCCUCAUUCUCUUCCUUAUGCUCCUCCUUAAUCUUCUCCAAAGGCAGCUCGAAUGCACGCGAUAAAGAUAAGGAAGGCAGACGUCGACCUAAACCAUUUCUUCGGCCUCACUGCAGUUGAGGCUGAAGAGGCGGCAUCGAAUUUAGGUUAUUCAAUAAUUGGGUGUAACUGUCUCCUCCAUGAUCAGAGAAUUAUGCAGAAUUUUAAUGACUUUAUGAGUAGUGGGUUAUUAAAAAAAGGUCACAAAAUACUGCCUAAUUUGACCCAUUAAAUAAUUUCGAAAAUAAAUAAAAAAAUUAUUUUAGUCAAAGAAUCC